RNAcentral lists this ribosomal RNA (467 nucleotides) under uncultured bacterium. Its description in RNAcentral is "partial 16S ribosomal RNA". It matches the Rfam family "Bacterial small subunit ribosomal RNA", at positions 28 to 507 of the family's 1533-position model. The record is from RNAcentral.
GACGAACGCUGGCGGCGUGCUUAACACAUGCAAGUCGAACGGAAAGGCCCUGCUUUUGUGGGGUGCUCGAGUGGCGAACGGGUGAGUAACACGUGAGUAACCUGCCCUUGACUUUGGGAUAACUUCAGGAAACUGGGGCUAAUACCGGAUAGGAGCUCCUGCUGCAUGGUGGGGGUUGGAAAGUUUCGGCGGUUGGGGAUGGACUCGCGGCUUAUCAGCUUGUUGGUGGGGUAGUGGCUUACCAAGGCUUUGACGGGUAGCCGGCCUGAGAGGGUGACCGGCCACAUGGGACUGGGGUUCCGGCCCGGACUCUACCGGGGGCCAGCGGUGGGAAUUUUGGCCCAUGGGGCGGAGGCUUGUUGCGCCACCCCGGGGUGCGGAAGGACGCCUUUCGGGUUGUAACCCGUUUUCGCUUGUACCGAGGCGUGGGGACGGUAAUUGGGAAAGGAGGCACGGGUAACUUCGGG